Oryza sativa Japonica Group (Japanese rice) is the source of this 110-nucleotide microRNA precursor. It matches the Rfam family "MIR1861 microRNA precursor family". Lineage: Eukaryota; Viridiplantae; Streptophyta; Magnoliopsida; Poales; Poaceae. The record is from Rfam.
AUAUUCUUAGGCCCAAUCUUGAGGCAAAAACUGAGUAGUUGGUGAACUCGCUCUAUCUUGUUCGUUCACUCGCUACACGGUUCCUGCCCUAAGAUCGAGUCUAUGAAUAU